Molecule: ribosomal RNA, 203 nt
Filed under: uncultured bacterium
Lineage: Bacteria
Description: partial 16S ribosomal RNA
Rfam family: Bacterial small subunit ribosomal RNA
Source: RNAcentral
CGCUUACUCGGGGAUAGCCUUUCGAAAGAAAGAUUAAUACCCGAUAGCAUAAUGAUUCCGCAUGGUUUCAUUAUUAAAGGAUUCCGGUAAAGGAUGGGGAUGCGUUCCAUUAGGUUGUUGGUGAGGUAACGGCUCACCAAGCCUUCGAUGGAUAAGGGUUCUGAGAGGAAGGUCCCCCACAUUGGAACUGAGACACGGUCCAA